This 440-nucleotide ribosomal RNA is filed under the name uncultured bacterium. RNAcentral's name for it is "partial 16S ribosomal RNA". It matches the Rfam family "Bacterial small subunit ribosomal RNA", at positions 338 to 795 of the family's 1533-position model. The record is from RNAcentral.
CCUACGGGAGGCUGCAGUAGGGAAUAUUGCUCAAUGGGGGGAACCCUGAAGCAGCAACGCCGCGUGGAGGAUGAAGGUUUUAGGAUUGUAAACUCCUUUUGUCAGCGAAGAUUAUGACGGUAUCUAACCAAUAAGCACCGGCUAACUCCGUGCCAGCAGCCGCGGUAAUACGGAGGGUGCAAGCGUUACUCGGAAUCACUGGGCGUAAAGCGUGCGUAGGCGGGGUAAUAAGUCAGAUGUGAAAGCCUGUAGCUUAACUACAAAACUGCAUUUGAAACUGUUACUCUGGAGUGGUGGAGAGGUAGGUGGAAUUCUUGGUGUAGGGGUGAAAUGCGUAGAUAUCAAGAGGAAUACUCAUUGCGAAGGCGACCUGCUGGAACAUUACUGACGCUGAGGCACGAAAGCGUGGGGAGCAAACAGGAUUAGAUACCCCAGUAGUC